RNAcentral lists this ribosomal RNA (501 nucleotides) under uncultured bacterium. Its description in RNAcentral is "partial 16S ribosomal RNA". It matches the Rfam family "Bacterial small subunit ribosomal RNA", at positions 30 to 523 of the family's 1533-position model. The record is from RNAcentral.
AUUGAACGCUGGCGGCAGGCUUAACACAUGCAAGUCGAGCGGGGUGAUGGUGCUUGCACUAUCACUUAGCGGCGGACGGGUGAGUAAUGCUUAGGAAUCUGCCUAUUAGUGGGGGACAACAUUCCGAAAGGAAUGCUAAUACCGCAUACGUCCUACGGGAGAAAGCAGGGGAUCUUCGGACAUUGCGCUAAUAGAUGAGCCUAAGUCGGAUUAGCUAGUUGGUGGGGUAAAGGCCUACCAAGGCGACGAUCUGUAGCGGGUCUGAGAGGAUGAUCCGCCACACUGGGACUGAGACACGGCCCAGACUCCUACGGGAGGCAGCAGUGGGGAAUAUUGGACAAUGGGGGGAACGCUGAUCCAGCCAUGCCGCGUGUGUGAAGAAGGCCUUAUGGUUGUAAAGCACUUUAAGCGAGGAGGAGGCUACUGAGACUAAUACUCUUGGAUAGUGGACGUUACUCGCAGAAUAAGCACCGGCUAACUCUGUGCCAGCCGCCGCAGUAA